CCCCACUGCUAUCGGGGUAGGACUAAGACAUGCUAGUCGUGUGACUCAGGUAAAACGAGUCACGGCGUACAGCUCAGUAGCACGUGGCUAAUCUGCCCUUGGGACGAUAACAACCCCGGGAAACUGGGGCUAACUCUCGAUAGGUGAAGAACUCUGGAAUGAGUCUUUGCCUAAAUAACUUCACGUUAUCCUCGUGAAGUCGCCCAAGGAUGAGGCCGCGGCCGAUCAGGUUGUUGGCGAGGUAAUGGCUCACCAAGCCUUUUACCGGUGCGGGCCGUGAGAGCGGGAGCCCGGAGAUGGGUACUGAGAUAAGGACCCAGGCCCUACGGGGCGCAGCAGUCGCGAAACCUUUGCAAUACACGAAAAUGUGACAGGGCUAUCCCGAGUGCCAUCCGCUGAGGAAGGCUUUUACCCAGUAUAGAUCGCUGGGGGAAUAAGGAGAGGGCAAGUCUGGUGU
RNAcentral lists this ribosomal RNA (457 nucleotides) under uncultured archaeon. RNAcentral's name for it is "bacterial SSU rRNA". It matches the Rfam family "Archaeal small subunit ribosomal RNA", at positions 24 to 458 of the family's 1478-position model. The record is from RNAcentral.